UUCCACAUAACUGGUGUCCUUACUAAAAGGGAAAUUUGUUGCCAGUAAAAGAAAAAGAAAGAAUAAAAUAUUUUUUCUUGAGACAGUCUUGUUCUGUCACCCAGGCUGGAGUGUAGUGGUGUGAUCAUAGCUCAAUGCAGCCUCAAACUCCUGGGUUCAACUGAUCCUCCCACCUCCGCUUCCUGAGUAGCUGAGACUACAGUUGUGUUCCACCAUGCCCAGCUAAUUUUCUGUAUUUUAUGUAGAGAUGGUAUCUCACUAUGUUUCCCAGGUUGGACUUGAACUUCUGGGCUCAAGCAAUCCUGCCUUGGCCUCCCAAAGUGCUGGGAUUAUAGGUGUGAGCCACCGUGACUGCCCAAAGCUCCUGGAUCUCUCCACCAUCGCUCUCUUCCUGAGCCGCCUGCCUCUGAGUUUCUUCAUCACCAAGAAGAGGAUUCACUGUCAGGCCCAGCUGUCCCAAUGUCCAUCUGUCACUUGGACUGUUUCUCCAGCCUGCGGCAUGGCUGCCUCCGGGCAUGGUGGCUCACACCUAUAAUCCCAGCACUUUGGGAGAUCGAGGCAGGCGAAUCUCCUGAGG
This is a non-coding RNA of Callithrix jacchus (white-tufted-ear marmoset), 577 nucleotides long. Lineage: Eukaryota; Metazoa; Chordata; Mammalia; Primates; Cebidae. The record is from RefSeq and is a predicted model, not a curated record.